UACGGAGGGUGCGAGCGUUGUCCGGAAUCACUGGGCGUAAAGGGCGCGUAGGCGGCGCGGAAAGUCAACGGUGAAAGCUUGGGGCUCAACCCCGAGUCGGCCGUCGAUACUUCCGUGCUCGAGCACUGUAGAGGCAGGUGGAAUUCCGGGUGUAGCGGUGGAAUGCGUAGAGAUCCGGAAGAACACCGGUGGCGAAGGCGGCCUGCUGGGCAGUAGCUGACGCUGAUGCGCGACGAGCGUGGGGAG
RNAcentral lists this ribosomal RNA (246 nucleotides) under uncultured bacterium. RNAcentral describes it as "partial 16S ribosomal RNA". It matches the Rfam family "Bacterial small subunit ribosomal RNA", at positions 524 to 768 of the family's 1533-position model. The record is from RNAcentral.